UUAAAUUGAGAGUUUGAUCCUGGCUCAGGACGAACGCUGGCGGCGUGCCUAACACAUGCAAGUCGAGCGAUGAAACCCUUCGGGGUGGAUUAGCGGCGGACGGGUGAGUAACACGUGGGUAACCUGCCUCAAAGAGGGGAAUAGCCUCCCGAAAGGGAGAUUAAUACCGCAUAAUAUGUUUUGGUCGCAUGAUCGAAACAUCAAAGGAUUUUUCUUCGGAGAAUUCCACUUUGAGAUGGACCCGCGGCGCAUUAGCUAGUUGGUGAGGUAACGGCCCACCAAGGCAACGAUGCGUAGCCGACCUGAGAGGGUGAUCGGCCACAUUGGAACUGAGACACGGUCCAGACUCCUACGGGAGGCAGCAGUGGGGAAUAUUGCGCAAUGGGGGAAACCCUGACGCAGCAACGCCGCGUGAAUGAUGAAGGCCUUCGGGUUGUAAAGUUCUGUCUUCUGGGACGAUAAUGACG
This 467-nucleotide ribosomal RNA is filed under the name Clostridium sp. FP1. RNAcentral describes it as "bacterial SSU rRNA". It matches the Rfam family "Bacterial small subunit ribosomal RNA", at positions 1 to 456 of the family's 1533-position model. Lineage: Bacteria; Bacillati; Bacillota; Clostridia; Eubacteriales; Clostridiaceae. The record is from RNAcentral.